This 60-nucleotide ribosomal RNA is filed under the name Nanobdellota archaeon. The record is from RNAcentral. Lineage: Archaea; Nanobdellati; Nanobdellota.
GAAGACGGCCAUAGUAGGUUGGAAACACCUGUUCUCUUCCCGAACACAGAAGUUAAGCUU